UUAUUAAAGAAAUAGUAUUAGCAGUUUUAAAUCUGGAUUCAUAGUAAGAGCUACAAUCAGUGACCAAGGUUCUGCCAAUGUUGCUGCUAUUAAGUCAUUAAUAUCAGAUUCUAAUGCUGAACUCCUACGUAGUAACAAAUAUACCAAUGACAUCUGUUAUAAAAUCGGCCCCAACUGUACCAUAUCUAUGAUGUACCUCAUUUAUUGAAAUGUUUUCGCAAUAAUUUUCAGAAAAAACCUACUCAUUGGCAACCAAAGGGCAAAGUGGGAGUAUAUUGAGAGACUUUAUAAAGUGGAUGGUUUUGGUGGCAGAGCAAGAAGCACCAAACUUACUGAGAAGCACAUAAAUCCAACUUCAUAUGACAAAAUGAAGGUCAAAUUUGCAGCCCAAGUUUUUAGCCGGCAAGUGGCUACAUCACUAGAAAUCCAGAUGAAGUCUCUGCUAUCUCUCCAGGAUCAUGAUUACAUAAGUUUAAAUGAAGACAUUGGAAAUGGUUUGUUCACAGCAGAAAUUCUUCUUUUAUAAAUAAUUUGUUUGAUAGUUUAAAUGGUUUUGGUCAUUAUGGGAAUAAGUUAAAACAUGCUCUUUCAUAUAAUUCGGAGCACAUUGCAUUCUGGAAUGAUGCUGUGAAAAAGCUAGCUUCAAUGCGCUUUGACGCUUCCAAUGAAAGGGAAAGGAAGCCUUUAUCACUGAAGCAUUUUGAACAUAAUAUAAAAACAAUAAAACAUUUGUGGUCAGAUCUGCUGAGAAUUGAUGGUGUUAAAUUUUUAAGUCUUAGACGUCUUAAUCAAGAUCCGAUAGAAAACUUUUUUGGUCAAAUAAGGGCACAUGGUAAUUUUAGUACAAAUCCUAAUUGUACUCAUUUUGUAUCGGCUUUUAAAACCUUGUUGAUUAACAACAUUACUACCGGUAAAUCUUUAUACACUAAUUGUUCUGAUGAUGAUGACAAAAUGUUGGGAACAUUAAAACAUUUAGUCAGCCACCAAAAAUAUGGUUCAUACACUGAUAGUCUUCAAUGUAAUGAAACUAACUUUAUAGAAAUUUCUAUACCUAACGAGAAUAUAUUCCAACAUAAGUCUGUACCAUAUAUUGCUGGUGCAGUUUGUCGUUUUUUGAUGUCCAAUUUGAACUGCAAAGAUUGUGAUAAUUGUACAAAAGCACUAUUAUCUCAGAGAGAGUCAUUUCACGAAUUAAUUAAUUUAAGAGAAUAUAGUUCCAAUGUAGAUAGGUUAUGUUAUCCUUCUAAUAAUUUUAGUCAAAUGGUCUGGCAGAGUAUUUACAUUAUUGACAAGAUGAUGCCAUUUCUUUGCAGUGUUUAUAUUUAUUCUGACUUAAUAAGUAAUUUAAUAAAAUAUAUUGACACUACUUGGUACAACUGUAAUAUUCACAAAACGGCUGUUAUUAAAGCUUUUGGUCCUACAUAGUUAGAAUGCAAGUUAAGCAGUGGUGUAUUAAUUUUAAUAAUAGAAUGAAUAAUAUUGAUUCAAGGCCUAAAGAUAUAGAAAUGGAAACUCUAAUCCGUGAGAAAGUCACAAAAGGAUUGAGUUAUAGAUCACAAAGAAGGCGUAGUUCCUAAUCUCACUUAAUUAAAGUUCUUCAUAGUAUUUUGUCCACAAUUAUUACGAUUUUUGCAAAUGAAAUUGAUGUUUUUUAAAGUGUAUUACCCACAUUUUUGUGGUUUUAAAUUAGCUAUUAUGCUUUCUGUUUAUUGUAUAAAAUCAUAGUAGUUUUUAAAAUAAUCUUCAUUAUGGUGACUGUUAAGCAAAUAGUUGUUAAAAUCUUAUAUACAUAAUUAUGCUUGUACAACCUAAAAUGAGCCUACCAGAUAAUUGUCAAGUAAAUAAAUUACAUUUCUACAAAAAGUAUUAUGUGUAUGUUUCCCAAAUUGUUCAUAUUUUUAUUGAUUUACAUUGUGCAGAAUUAGUAAUUUUACCUUUAAUUUAAUAUUAUAUUUUCAUUAUAAUGUAUUCAACAUUUUCUGUAUUUUGUAGCAUUUUUAGUAGCAAAUGUGCCAUUAUAUGAUAUUGCAAAAUGUUAAAUUAUGCAUGGAAUGCUUUUCGUGAGAGAAUAAUCAUAUUCAAAUAAAUUCUUAGUUUUGUGUUGUUAGAUUAGUUAUUAUACCUAAUGCAUAGUGUAUAAUAGUGAAUAGCUUAAGUAUGGCUCUUUAUAUUGUGUAAAAUUAUAGUGCUAGUCUUCACAAUUAUCUUAAUUUUGCUAACUGUUAAGCAAGCCGUUGUUAAAAUCUCAUAUGCAUAAUUAUGCUUGAACACGGUAAAAUAAAAAUGUUUAUGUUUCCAAAAUAGUUCAUAUUUCUAUUCAUUUACUAUGUACAAAAAUAUUAAUUUUACCUUUUUAUUUAAAAUCAUGUUUUCAAUAUAAAAUAUCUAACAUUUUUGUCCUUUUGUAGUAAUUUUUCUUUCAAAUGUGCCACUAGUCAGUCAUUGUAUUGUCAUUAUUUUUAAUUUUAUGUAAAUUGUUACUGUUAAAUUUAUAUGCAAUCCAAUUUUGUUUCUUGUAAGUUAUUGUUGAUUUAUAUGACAAAAUAUUAAUAAGUGGAAGACAACCAAAAAUCAUGUUGUUGCAUUUGCCUUUAUAAUAUUGAAUUGUAAUGAUGAAAAUUAAAAUUAUGUUGGUAAAUGUAAGCGGCUGAACGGUGUGCACUAUUUAUGUAUUUGCUUUAUGCCAGUCCAUGUUUUUAAUCCGUGCACCACCUUAUAUAAGCUAUGUGACUACUUUGUAUACAACAUCUAUAAAAAAUAUUUGGUAAUUGAUGACAAAAAAAAUAAGCCCGGAGUUUCUUUUCUGCCUUUUCUUCUUCGGGUAGUCAUCUCUUAGGUAGCUAGUGAAAGGCUGGUGGAUUAGCUAGGUAGGGGCCUAUAUUGUAUUCUUCGACGGCGAAGAUCGUGAUGCAUUCCUUUUAUUUUAUUAAGAUUAUAUCAUAUACCUUUUGUCCUGUCGGCCCGAGCUGACUUCUUUCGUUUUUUUAUCCUUUAUAUAUCAAUUAUUUUUAAAUUUUAGCGUCUGUAGUGACUCAGUGGUUUGUUCAUUAAUUUAUUUGAUUUGUUUUAAACGUAUCAUAAGUACAGCAAUAACUUUGUUUACCUAUAUUUUAUUUUAUUGAACAGAAAAUGCAAUUAUACGGGCUGCAAUUUUAAGUAAAAAUUAUUUUCGCUGGCUAUCGGUAGAUUCUGAAAUUAUGGUAAAUUGGGCGUGAAAAGUAAUGAAAACAUUACUAAUAAAUCUUUAUAUUUAGAUAAGAAAAGUUGUUUUAUUUUAUUUGUCAAUAUUUUAAAUGGGUAAACACGUGACACUACAUUUACGCCGUGUACUCACUGUAGCAAAUCGAUAACCGAUUUUUUGUAUUAGUGUGAAACCAGCCUAAGCACAUCCUUAAUUAUUUAAAAAUCGGUAUAUUCGGAAAAAUAUCGAUUUUCAAUACGGCUACGUCUCUAGUACUACGGCCAUAUUUAUUUUUCAACAUAACCUGUGUGUAAGUGAGAAUAAUAAGGGUCAUAGGUUUUUCACCCGGGAAAGAAAGAGAGUUCCAACUAUUCAUGAAUUAAUUGUAUAACAUAAUAUAGACAUGAAACGCAUGCUAGUGUGGGUUUCCUUAUCGUGUUAAAAUCAAUGUAUGAAGUUAACCGUCUCUCUAGUUUAUUGGUCUCUGGUGUCAAGUAAAUUUUGUUUAAAUAGCUGUAUAAUGUGGAUAGUUCUCAUUUUAUAAUUUUACUAUUUUAUUUGGAAGUAAAGACUGGAGUGUAAUUUUUAUACUUGAUUGGCUUAUACAUUUAUGUGAUAAGAACCGUUUAUUUAGUAGUUUAACAGGCCUUUACAAUUGUUUUAUUUAGCUUAAUUAUUGAUCUAUUAAUUGCUCAGAAUAAAAAUAUGAGUUACUGCAAUAGUAAUAGUUCUAUUUCUUCCAUAAAAUCCUAUAGUCCAAAAAUACAGGGUCUCGAAUCGACUUUACAACAAAGUAUUGUGCAUUUUAAAGAAAUUGUACUAGAUUUUGAACAACUUUAUAUUGAGUCAGAAAAUUUUAAAACACAGCUUCAAUUGCAGAAACAGAUGUGCGAAAGUAAAACCUGUAGAAGCUCUGAUGAGUUGAAGAAAGAUCUUGAAA
This 4121-nucleotide unclassified non-coding RNA is filed under the name Manduca sexta (tobacco hornworm). RNAcentral describes it as "uncharacterized LOC119193305, transcript variant X3". The record is from RNAcentral. Lineage: Eukaryota; Metazoa; Arthropoda; Insecta; Lepidoptera; Sphingidae.